UUACUAUAUUAUUUCUCUGUAUAUUCUGUAUUCCUAUUUAGGAUUUCUUAAUUUAAGAUUUCUUCCUAAUUAGUAGAACACAAUUAUAGGAAUCAAUUGUAU
This 102-nucleotide microRNA precursor is filed under the name Hevea brasiliensis (rubber tree). RNAcentral's name for it is "miR9387 stem-loop (hbr-MIR9387)". The record is from miRBase by way of RNAcentral. Lineage: Eukaryota; Viridiplantae; Streptophyta; Magnoliopsida; Malpighiales; Euphorbiaceae.